CCUUGACUUGAGUAUAAGACGAGUGGGGGUUUUUCAGCACAAGUAUAUACGGUAGUUAGAAUUCAAAGUGAAUUCAAAGAUAAUUUCAAAUUUAAGGAUAAAAUAGUCGAACUGGACUUUUUCCUAUUUGACUAUUUUGGCUUUAUAUUUGAAAUUCACUUUAAAUUUACUUAGAAUAACACUGAAAGUAUUAUCUCUUUUAAUGUAGCUAGUCAUUUAGUUAGCUGUUCCUUUUGAUCUUGAUAUUUUAAUUGAUCUUAAUUCUGAAGUCUAUUAUAUAUGUUUAAAGUUGGCAAGCAUAAUUAUUAAGAAAAACUUUGUAUACUAAAUAUGUUUUUGAGCGCCUGUUUUCCUUGUCGUUUAUAUUUACUUACUCACUGGGGUAAUAUUUGCUUCCCAUUGUACUGCUGAUACUGUUUAACUUGGUCUGUUUGCUAUUUGACAUUGGGAGCAUUAGCCCAACUACACUCACCAAUGCUGUUCAGUCACAUUAACGUUUGUCAGAUUAGUUCCUAUCUGAAGUCAUGUGACAGAGAUAAUUGGCACAGAUAGGUUAAAAUAUUUAUCACCACAGAUUUUUAAAAUAUUAAUGUGGAGAUUAUUGAUGCUGAAGGAUAAAAUGGCAGAAAGCAAUAAGUGAGGAUAGAUAGUGUUUAGCAAAUAAAGCUUUAUUUUUCUUUUAUAAGAGCAGAAUUUUCUAACUUUAUGAUAAAGAUAGACAUCAGACAAAAAUGGUGCUACAUAUUAGCUAAGAAAUAUAUAGUGUCAUGUUGAGGAAAACUUACAAGUCUAUCAAAAAACAAAACUUUGAUAGACUUGUAAGAACAUAAUGCAGAAAUAUAGUUCAGCUAUUCUAUGAGACACAUUCCUUCUCAGGAAGAAAUCCAAAUGGACCAUCCAUGUGAAUGGCUGCAAGAACAGUAUUGUAAGGCGCCUUCGGCAGUCUUAUGGAAUAACUUAAUAUGGCACUCGAAACAUGUUUGUACCUGUACCUUAUGCAAAAGAUACAGCCUUGUUUGUUUUGUAUACUGUAUUAGCAUUAUAUGUUUGUUAAUAAGGGUGAGAUUAUGUUACUUGAGGUAAUAAUAGUAUUGUUCAUUAGUUAAACGUCACUAAUGUGUAUGAAAAACAAUAUUUAAUUACCAGCGAUAUAUGUAUCUUAGGUGAAGAUAUUCAGCCCUUGGAGUUUUGGGAUCAUGUACAAUAUAGUAUGUUUUGUUAUUAUUUGAUUACAAUAAACGUCAAUGUUUAGCCAUGGUUACACCUUAAUGUGUUUUUUUGUUGUUGAAAAAGGUAACUAACGGAUUGUUUAUUAUAGAAUCCUGAAGAUUACGGAGCACAGAACACAGAGUGAUGCAACAAGCAUAUACCUGCAGACUGUAUAUCAUUCGUAGCAAAAGCACGCUCUUAUAGAACUCUUUACUAGGUUUCAAAUCAGUGCAGGCAUAUUUAUACAGGAUAGGAAAAGCAAUAUGGAAGAAUGUGUCCCUUGCCCUUUCGACUUGUUUUUUUCUUUGCAUAGGCAUUUGGAGAGUGAGUUUAUCCAUAUGUUCCAAAAGAGGUUAUUUAAGCCACUGCUUAAAGGGACACUAUAGUCAACAGAACAACAUCUUAUUGUAUUUGUUCUGGUAAGUAUAAUCAUUCCCUUCAGACUUUUUGCAAUAAAAACUGUUUUUGUCAGAGAAAAUGCAGUGUUUACAUUGCCCAGUAGGGAUACCUCCACUGGCCACUCCUCAGAUAGCUACUAGAGGUGCUUCUUGGGGCAGUACUGCACAGUGUGCAGCACUGUUAUUCAGUGUCUCCACACUGAAUCUCAACGUCAGCAGCCCCCACCCAGAUAUUGCAAAACUUCACAACACAUUUCUAAACCACAGCCCUACCUCACCGCACUAUUGUAACUUUAAUGGCUAUAUUGCCCAUUCAUCUACACAAUACAAAAGCCCUAAAACUAUCACUCCCACACCACAAAGAUUGUGAUAUGCGUAUAAAAAUUAUGACACAAUCAAAUCACCAAUUCACUAUAAUCACACUAAUAGAUAUCAGCUACUUUCUGUGGACUCUGAAAUUGAAAAUGAAGACUAUUUUUUAGAAAUUCACACACAGACAAAUGCACAAGCUCAGACCCCCUAUCUAUCAAGAGUAAGGAAAAGAAGUUUAGAGGAAGGAGAAGUAGGAGAAGAUCAGAAAAGAGAAAGAUUAGAGAGACAGUAAUCAACAUUAAUGAAAAGGAAAAGUUUUAUCAUCCACUCAGAUAUCUGUUUUAACUAAAGGUCUUAAAUUUGCCCCCACAAAUGCUUUUAAAUCCUUUCAGGCUUUUAAGGAUGUCCACAAACACCCUCCCCCACCACACCUUGACCACCCUGUCAAGUAGGAAGGAAUCUUCCCUGGCUGUUUGAUUGAGAGCUAGAGGUGAGUUCCCUAAUUAAUUUAUAAAAUGUCUGAUUUCUCAUAGAAACUGGGGUUAAACUAUCAUACUCCUCACCCAUAAAGCACUUAAGCAACCUGAAGUGCUUUUGGGGUGUGGGGUGGUCCUUUAAAGUGGCAAACAAGACUGGAACUUAAAAAUAACCAUUCUAUAAAUAAAUGCAUCAUAAUGCAUUAGGAAUAUAUAGAACAACAACUAAUCCAAUAUCUAAAACAAUACAAAGGUUACUCAUAGUUUCUGCAUUUGCACUGGUUUUCCAGGCUUUCAAUAAACUGUACCUUACAACAAGAAUGAAUCAAUCAAGACAUAUUAACAAAUUCUGUUUGGAACUUUUCAAAGUGUUGACUUCUUUACAUAAAUGUCUGCACAGCAAUACUUUAUGGGUAGAGAACAGGUUUCUGGAAGUUGUAGUUCAGCUAUCAUACUUUUACUUACAAAAGCUGGUUUCUGACAUACAGCUCCCAGAAACCUUUGCUCUUCUUCAUAAUGACUGGAUACUUUUAAUGGGGGAAAAUAGUGGUUCAGAGGAACAGAAAGCUAGCUAUACUCCUGUGUAGUAGCCAUCACACUAAUAGUAUAUUUACUAAAGAUAAUGAGACAGAGGAGGCAGGAUUAAGAGAAAAUGCUAAACUUUUAUUUAUUUAUUUUUGUUUGGUAGUAGUGCCAGAUGAGUCCUUUUACUUGGAGGCUAAACACUGAAUAGAAAUAAUUUUGGAGAGUAUCUCCAAAGAAAAUGGAAUUUACAGUAGAAUAUAUACUGCAGCAUCUUUAUCUUGAUUUUUAAUUGUUUGCCUACUUCUAGCCCUUUGCAUUGUACUUGUUAAUGUGAAGUGCUUAACCUAUUGUCAAGAACACAUUGUGAAGAAAUGGUUAACAUAUGGUUUACCAAAUGUAACGUAAAUGUGUCUGGAUAAGAUAAUUAUGUAUUUCCAUUUUCUGUUUAGUAAGUACACUUCAUAAUUAAAUUUAUUUCAUUUGUUUAAUUACAGUAAAUAUAUUUGUAGUGCUCUUUAAUGUUUAACAAAAGAUGAAUAUUGAUACAAAAAAUAAUUUAUCUUUCAAGUUUAUUGAAAUGCGUGUGCAAUUAUAAUUAUAAGAACUAAAUAAAGAAG
This 3537-nucleotide long non-coding RNA is filed under the name Pelobates cultripes (western spadefoot toad). The record is from RNAcentral. Lineage: Eukaryota; Metazoa; Chordata; Amphibia; Anura; Pelobatidae.